UCGGUACCUUUCGGCUUUCUUUGUUUCCGUGUAGCGUAGCUCGCACUCUUCUUCUUUGAGCUUUCCUUCCCCUCUUGGACCUCUUUGAACCUGACUGUGAGCCUUUCAAGUUGGAAGGUUGUUGGUUUGCGCCUUGGAGAAGUGUUGGAGCUACAUUUACGUGUCAUGUGGCGAAUGUCUCAGUACUCCUUGUCAGGUUUGUGCCUUUUUGUCGCACUCGCCGACUGUAUAAGAUCUGGUUACUUUGGUGGAAAGUUUGUCAUAACUCGUAACAUUUUGUCCUUCUCCAUUUUUUAUCAAGUAUUUUAUUUAUUAUUGGACGAGCUGGGAAAAAAAGAUGGAGAGAAUUGGAAGCAGAAAGCGCUCCCGAUCCCGUGGGAGCCCUGAGACGCUGAUGGCCGAGAAUCCAGGGAAAAAAAGAUGGAGAGAAGAACUGAGAAGCGUUGAAGAAGAGCAGUUAUAUCAAGCAACGGAAAUGAGUCUGCAUAACUUUCACCAAGAUUCAACUGCUGCUACACAUGGCGCACUGCAGCAGCAGCAGGUACCCCACUUGUCCAGUAUGUUAAGUGCUGAAUUAGAUGCGGACAUGAGUAACACACGCAGCAGCACCAUUGGCAUUGGCAGUUUUGCUGUAGAGUUUGGCGUUCCAUCCGAUAUUGAAUUUGAUAGCAAAUGGUCAUUUACUCCAGCUCCUACCACAGUUUGGUCAAAUUCUCCUGAGUCGUCGCCGUCCCGCUCGUCAUUGUCAUGCGCCCGUAUAGACACCACUAGUAGUAACAUGCCCACCAGUACUAGUGCUGGAGCUGUGUAUCCAAAGGGUACCGACAUGAUCAGCUGUCCGUACUGCUCAGAUUUUGUGCAUGAUCUGUAUCUGCACCAAAUGGAAUGCGUUACAGCAAGUAGUUUUCUAACGCAAACGACAAGUACAGCAAUGACGGGAGCAACGAUGACCACGGGAGAUGGCGAGCGGCAUCCUGCUGGCGAAGCAACAUCUGCUAUUGCCAUGGACAUCUCAGACUGCUGCGUGUCGUGGUCAUGCUAGCAGUCAGACCCCCACAAUGACAUGAUGUUUCUGAUUGUGAACAAGACAGAGAUUUGGAUGUGUAGAGAGCACGCUUUAUUGUCAAUCUUGCAACCUUGCCUAUCACUCUUUUAAUGAUUAUGUACUACAACACUACUCACUCCAGCGUGUGUGCUGCUUUUAUGUGUUAUCUUACUUGUAUCUUUUAUUUUUGUCACAUGUUGCUUGUUGGAGACUGUUGUUUGUGUUGUUUUGUUCCUCACAUCCCCAUGCUAUUUCUUCAUUCUCGCGGUUUUUUGGCCCGUUCCACCAAAUUGCGUGUUGCGUGUUGAUUUUGUUUUGUUUAGGCCUUAUAUAUGCGUAAAUGA
Sycon ciliatum is the source of this 1389-nucleotide long non-coding RNA. RefSeq lists it as uncharacterized. The transcript is spliced from 2 exons. NCBI's taxonomy places the organism in Eukaryota, Metazoa, Porifera, Calcarea, Leucosolenida, Sycettidae. The record is from RefSeq and is a predicted model, not a curated record.